RNAcentral lists this ribosomal RNA (406 nucleotides) under uncultured bacterium. Its description in RNAcentral is "partial 16S ribosomal RNA". It matches the Rfam family "Bacterial small subunit ribosomal RNA", at positions 30 to 526 of the family's 1533-position model. The record is from RNAcentral.
AUUGAACACUGGCGGCAGGCCUAACACAUGCAAGUCGAACGAGUGGCGGACGGGUGAGUAAUGUCUGGGAAACUGCCUGAUGGAGGGGGAUAACUACUGGAAACGGUAGCUAAUACCGCAUACCAUCGGAUGUGCCCAGAUGGGAUUAGCUAGUAGGUGGGGUAAUGGCUCACCUAGGCGACGAUCCUUAGCUGGUCUGAGAGGAUGACCACGUACACUGGAAUUUGGACACUGUCCAGACUCCUACGGGAGGCAGCAGUGGGGAAUAGUGCACAAUGGGCGCAAGCCUGAUGCAGCCAUGCCGCGUGUAUGCAGAAGGCCUUCGGGUUGUAAAGUACUUUCAGCGUGGAGGCGUUACCCGCAGAAGAAGCACCGGCUAACUCCGUGCCAGCAGCCGCGGUAAUAC